Molecule: ribosomal RNA, 998 nt
Filed under: Salmonella enterica subsp. enterica serovar Typhimurium str. CDC_2009K1283
Lineage: Bacteria; Pseudomonadati; Pseudomonadota; Gammaproteobacteria; Enterobacterales; Enterobacteriaceae
Description: bacterial LSU rRNA
Rfam family: Bacterial large subunit ribosomal RNA
Source: RNAcentral
AAACCCAGUGUGAUUCGUCACACUAUCAUUAACUGAAUCCAUAGGUUAAUGAGGCGAACCGGGGGAACUGAAACAUCUAAGUACCCCGAGGAAAAGAAAUCAACCGAGAUUCCCCCAGUAGCGGCGAGCGAACGGGGAGGAGCCCAGAGCCUGAAUCAGCAUGUGUGUUAGUGGAAGCGUCUGGAAAGGCGCGCGAUACAGGGUGACAGCCCCGUACACAAAAGCGCAUGUGCUGUGAGCUCGAUGAGUAGGGCGGGACACGUGGUAUCCUGUCUGAAUAUGGGGGGACCAUCCUCCAAGGCUAAAUACUCCUGACUGACCGAUAGUGAACCAGUACCGUGAGGGAAAGGCGAAAAGAACCCCGGCGAGGGGAGUGAAAAAGAACCUGAAACCGUGUACGUACAAGCAGUGGGAGCACCCUUCGGGGUGUGACUGCGUACCUUUUGUAUAAUGGGUCAGCGACUUAUAUUCUGUAGCAAGGUUAACCGUAUAGGGGAGCCGGAGGGAAACCGAGUCUUAAUUGGGCGUUAAGUUGCAGGGUAUAGACCCGAAACCCGGUGAUCUAGCCAUGGGCAGGUUGAAGGUUGGGUAACACUAACUGGAGGACCGAACCGACUAAUGUUGAAAAAUUAGCGGAUGACCUGUGGCUGGGGGUGAAAGGCCAAUCAAACCGGGAGAUAGCUGGUUCUCCCCGAAAGCUAUUUAGGUAGCGCCUCGUGAAUUCAUCUCCGGGGGUAGAGCACUGUUUCGGCUAGGGGGCCAUCCCGGCUUACCAACCCGAUGCAAACUGCGAAUACCGGAGAAUGUUAUCACGGGAGACACACGGCGGGUGCUAACGUCCGUCGUGAAGAGGGAAACAACCCAGACCGCCAGCUAAGGUCCCAAAGUCAUGGUUAAGUGGGAAACGAUGUGGGAAGGCCCAGACAGCCAGGAUGUUGGCUUAGAAGCAGCCAUCAUUUAAAGAAAGCGUAAUAGCUCACUGGUCGAGUCGGCCUGCG